RNAcentral lists this transfer RNA (64 nucleotides) under Staphylinidae sp. BMNH 1274704. RNAcentral's name for it is "tRNA-Cys". The record is from RNAcentral. Lineage: Eukaryota; Metazoa; Arthropoda; Insecta; Coleoptera; Staphylinidae.
AGUCUUAUAGUCAAAAUUUAAUGAUUUUAAAUUGCAAAUUUAAAGGUGGACUCUCCUAAGGCUU